RNAcentral lists this ribosomal RNA (783 nucleotides) under uncultured spirochete. RNAcentral's name for it is "bacterial SSU rRNA". It matches the Rfam family "Bacterial small subunit ribosomal RNA", at positions 57 to 827 of the family's 1533-position model. Lineage: Bacteria; Pseudomonadati; Spirochaetota; Spirochaetia; Spirochaetales. The record is from RNAcentral.
GCAGUCGAACGGCUAGUAAGGUGCUUGCACCUUAUGAGAGUGGCGAACGGGUGAGUAACACGUGGAUGAUCUGCCCUUGAGUUGGGGAUAGCCCAUGUUAAACAUGGAGUAAUACCGAAUACGAUCCGGACCUUAUGGGGACCGGAGGAAAAGCGCUUCGGCGCUGCUCGAGGAUGAGUCCGCGGCUGAUUAGUUAGUUGGUGGGGUAAAGGCCUACCAAGGCAGCGAUCAGUAGCCGGCCUGAGAGGGUGAACGGCCACACUGGGACUGAGAUACGGCCCAGACUCCUACGGGAGGCAGCAGCUAAGAAUCUUCUGCAAUGGACGAAAGUCUGACAGAGCGACGCCGCGUGGGUGAAGAAGGCCGGAAGGUUGUAAAGCCCUUUUCUAUCUGAGGAAUAACCAUAGGAGGCAAUGCCUGUGGGAUGACGGUAGGGUAGGAAUAAGCCCCGGCCAAUUACGUGCCAGCAGCCGCGGUAACACGUAUGGGGCGAGCGUUGUUCGGAAUCAUUGGGCGUAAAGGGCGCGUAGGCGGUUAUACAAGCUUGGUGUGAAAUCCCGCAGCUCAACUGCGGAGACGCGCUGAGAACUGUAUGACUAGAGUUCAAGAGGGGAAGCUGGAAUUCCUGGUGUAGGGGUGAAAUCUGUAGAGAUCAGGAAGAACAUCAGUGGCGAAGGCGAGCUUCUGGCUAUGAACUGACGCUAAGGCGCGAAAGCGUGGGGAGCGAACAGGAUUAGAUACCCUGGUAGUCCACGCUGUAAACGAUGUGCACUAGGUGUUGGG